RNAcentral lists this ribosomal RNA (478 nucleotides) under uncultured bacterium. RNAcentral's name for it is "partial 16S ribosomal RNA". It matches the Rfam family "Bacterial small subunit ribosomal RNA", at positions 28 to 523 of the family's 1533-position model. The record is from RNAcentral.
GACGAACGCUGGCGGCGUGCUUAACACAUGCAAGUCGAACGGUAAGGCCCUUCGGGGUACACGAGUGGCGAACGGGUGAGUAACACGUGGGUGAUCUGCCCCGCACUUCGGUAUAAGCCUGGGAAACUGGGUCGAAUACCGUAUAGGACCCCUGCCUUCCGGGGUGGUCGUGGCAAGCGUUUGCGGUGUGGGAUGGGCCCGCGGCCUAUCAGCUUGUUGGUGGGGUGAUGGCGUACCAAGGCGACGACGGGUAGCGGGCCUGAGAGGGUGACCGGCCACACUGGGACUGAGAUACGGCCCAGACUCCUACGGGAGGCAGCAGUGGGGAAUAUUGCACAAUGGGCGCAAGCCUGAUGCAGCGACGCCGCGUGAGGGAUGACGGCCUUCGGGUUGUAAACCUCUUUCAGCACCGACGAAGCGCAAGUGACGGUAGGUGCAGAAGAAGGACCGGCCAACUACGUGCCAGCCGCCGCGGUAA